Molecule: ribosomal RNA, 253 nt
Filed under: uncultured bacterium
Lineage: Bacteria
Description: partial 16S ribosomal RNA
Rfam family: Bacterial small subunit ribosomal RNA
Source: RNAcentral
UACAGAGGGGGCAAGCGUUGUUCGGAAUUACUGGGCGUAAAGGGCGCGUAGGCGGCCUGUUAAGUCGAACGUGAAAUCCCCGGGCUCAACCCGGGAACUGCGUCCGAUACUGGCAGGCUUGAAUCCGGGAGAGGGAUGUGGAAUUCCAGGUGUAGCGGUGAAAUGCGUAGAUAUCAGGAGGAACACCGGUGGCGAAGGCGGGUCUCUGGGCCGUAACUGACGCUGAGGAGCGAAAGCGUGGGGAGCGUACAGG